RNAcentral lists this ribosomal RNA (845 nucleotides) under uncultured Bacillus sp. RNAcentral's name for it is "bacterial SSU rRNA". It matches the Rfam family "Bacterial small subunit ribosomal RNA", at positions 72 to 900 of the family's 1533-position model. Lineage: Bacteria; Bacillati; Bacillota; Bacilli; Caryophanales; Bacillaceae. The record is from RNAcentral.
AUGGGAGCUUGCUCCCUGAUGUUAGCGGCGGACGGGUGAGUAACACGUGGGUAACCUGCCUGUAAGACUGGGAUAACUCCGGGAAACCGGGGCUAAUACCGGAUGCUUGUUUGAACCGCAUGGUUCAGACAUAAAAGGUGGCUUCGGCUACCACUUACAGAUGGACCCGCGGCGCAUUAGCUAGUUGGUGAGGUAACGGCUCACCAAGGCGACGAUGCGUAGCCGACCUGAGAGGGUGAUCGGCCACACUGGGACUGAGACACGGCCCAGACUCCUACGGGAGGCAGCAGUAGGGAAUCUUCCGCAAUGGACGAAAGUCUGACGGAGCAACGCCGCGUGAGUGAUGAAGGUUUUCGGAUCGUAAAGCUCUGUUGUUAGGGAAGAACAAGUGCCGUUCAAAUAGGGCGGCACCUUGACGGUACCUAACCAGAAAGCCACGGCUAACUACGUGCCAGCAGCCGCGGUAAUACGUAGGUGGCAAGCGUUGUCCGGAAUUAUUGGGCGUAAAGGGCUCGCAGGCGGUUUCUUAAGUCUGAUGUGAAAGCCCCCGGCUCAACCGGGGAGGGUCAUUGGAAACUGGGGAACUUGAGUGCAGAAGAGGAGAGUGGAAUUCCACGUGUAGCGGUGAAAUGCGUAGAGAUGUGGAGGAACACCAGUGGCGAACGCGACUCUCUGGUCUGUAACUGACGCUGAGGAGCGAAAGCGUGGGGAGCGAACAGGAUUAGAUACCCUGGUAGUCCACGCCGUAAACGAUGAGUGCUAAGUGUUAGGGGUUUCCGCCCCCUUAUGCUGCAGCUAACGCAUUAAGCACUCCGCCUGGGGAGUACGGUACGCAAGACUGAAAC